RNAcentral lists this ribosomal RNA (253 nucleotides) under uncultured bacterium. Its description in RNAcentral is "partial 16S ribosomal RNA". It matches the Rfam family "Bacterial small subunit ribosomal RNA", at positions 524 to 776 of the family's 1533-position model. The record is from RNAcentral.
UACGUAGGGUGCAAGCGUUGUCCGGAAUUAUUGGGCGUAAAGAGCUCGUAGGCGGUUUGUCGCGUCGAAUGUGAAAACCCGGGGCUCAACCCCGGGCCUGCAUUCGAUACGGGCAGACUAGAGUUCGGUAGGGGAGUCUGGAAUUCCUGGUGUAGCGGUGAAAUGCGCAGAUAUCGGGAGGAACACCGGUGGCGAAGGCGGCUCUCUGGGACGGUACUGACGCUGAGACGCGAAAGCGUGGGGAGCGAACAGG